AGUCACCAAACAGACACAAGCUGAAACCAUGAGGAUUCAACCUCGAGGGAAACCAGAGCAACUGUAGAAUGUACGUGCUCCAGCUUUAAGGAGCUCUCCUUGAUCAGCGUGGCCGAGCGGGAGAAGAUGUCUGUGGCGUGAGGCAGCAGGAGCUGCAGGUGCUUGUGAAGAAGAGCCACACUGCUGGAGUUCUGCAGAGAGACACAGAAUUCAAGGUUCACAAACCAAGCAGAUGUUUUAUCCUGAUUUGAAUUAUUAGAUGUAUUGAUAACAGAUGACAGCUCCUUGGAGAGGAAGCUCUCAGUGAGAAGAAGCAGGGGAGGCACCUGUCCUUUGGAGAGACUCUCCCAUCGGUCCGGGCCCUGAGGCAGCAGCGAGUGGAGCAGCUCCAUCCUCUCCCUCAGCGGGGGCAGCAGCAUCGUGGCCCCCACAGACAGAGUCUCAAUCACCGCCUGGUGGGGACCACAAAGUGCUUGUAUCAUCUCUUACUUCCUGGAUCUCGUCGGGCACGGAGGAGUCCAUCAGUCUGAAGAGCAGGUUCCUCAGGGGCCUCGCCUGCCGACCCAAGAUACUGGUGGCCACGCCCCCGGCCAGAGCCAGAGCCAGGUGAUUGGACAAGAGCCGAAGGCACAGCUUGAGAAAGCAGCUGAGGUCUCACCGGGACGAGGGGAAGGGCAGAGGAGGAACUUCACUGUUGAUCCCGUCACAGUAGCGCUCGAGGAAGGAGCGCAGGUGGGAGAAGGUGCUUUCCUCCAGGUCCACGCAGUACGGCCUGUGCCACGCCACCACCUGCCUGGAGAGUCAGAGACAAGAUGUGGACAAUGUGUCUUACUGGUGUCUCCAGCCUGAAGAAGAGCGUCUGAGACACGAAGCCACGGUUUGGACAGUUUGGACACAAGAGCUUGAACAGGAAUCUCUAGGCCACUGAUUCGAUUUCAAUUCAGAGGCAGACGAUUCAACGAUAUCGAUGUGUCAAAGAAUUUGAUUUCUAUAAACAAUUAUUAGUUUUUAUCACCGUGUGACUGUCUUCACGAGAAUCCUGAUUUGUGCUUUAAAAGGGUUUUAAACUGUUGUCAUGACUGAACUCAAGUGAAUCAACAAACACAAAGUAAAGUUCUGUUCAGGUUCUAAUAACUUCUGAGUCGUGUCAGUGUUUAUUGUUAAAGUGCAAAGUGAGUGCAGGUCAGCAGGUCAGCGGAGGGAGGACUCUGACAAGGGAAAGGACCACCAGACCAAAUAUUUAA
Long non-coding RNA from Pleuronectes platessa (European plaice), 1244 nucleotides. RefSeq lists it as uncharacterized. The transcript has 5 exons. Lineage: Eukaryota; Metazoa; Chordata; Actinopteri; Pleuronectiformes; Pleuronectidae. The record is from RefSeq and is a predicted model, not a curated record.